RNAcentral lists this ribosomal RNA (425 nucleotides) under uncultured bacterium. RNAcentral describes it as "bacterial SSU rRNA". It matches the Rfam family "Bacterial small subunit ribosomal RNA", at positions 354 to 796 of the family's 1533-position model. The record is from RNAcentral.
GUGGGGAAUAUUGCACAAUGGGGGAAACCCUGAUGCAGCGACGCCGCGUGAGUGAAGAAGUAUUUCGGUAUGUAAAGCUCUAUCAGCAGGGAAGAUAAUGACGGUACCUGACUAAGAAGCCCCGGCUAACUACGUGCCAGCAGCCGCGGUAAUACGUAGGGGGCAAGCGUUAUCCGGAUUUACUGGGUGUAAAGGGUGCGUAGGUGGCAAGGCAAGUCAGAUGUGAAAGCCCGGGGCUCAACCCCGGUACUGCAUUUGAAACUGUCUAGCUAGAGUGCAGGAGAGGUAAGCGGAAUUCCUAGUGUAGCGGUGAAAUGCGUAGAUAUUAGGAGGAACACCAGUGGCGAAGGCGGCUUACUGGACUGUAACUGACACUGAGGCACGAAAGCGUGGGGAGCAAACAGGAUUAGAAACCCGAGUAGUCC